UGCCAAUCCUUAGUGUAUUUAGUUUAGCGGCGGAACACAUGUACCUUGUGCUAGAAAGUUGCUAUUUUUCUCUCUAGAAAAUCUUUGUAUGUAAACAAGACAUUUUUCUGUAUUCUUCGGUAAUCAAUCAAUGAGAAUUUUUUUUUUCUUCUCUCAAAUCGGUUUGAACAUAAAACCCUUCUGACCUUCUACUCUAUUUUACCCAAUAAACUUAUAAAGACCCUCGAUUUCACACCAUGAGUAAAGAUGAAGUAAACCAAUAGAUUAAACAAACAUAAUACAGGCAAAUUGAAGAAAUGGGAAAACAGAGGCACGAAACACAGAGACAACAAUGAAUCAAAUUAUAAACAAAACACAGAAAAAAAGAAAAAGUACUUUGCGAGCGUAGAUGUCGGUGA
RNAcentral lists this unclassified non-coding RNA (398 nucleotides) under Hevea brasiliensis (rubber tree). The record is from RNAcentral. Lineage: Eukaryota; Viridiplantae; Streptophyta; Magnoliopsida; Malpighiales; Euphorbiaceae.